RNAcentral lists this long non-coding RNA (572 nucleotides) under Bos indicus x Bos taurus (hybrid cattle). RNAcentral's name for it is "lncRNA (ENSBIXG00005023545.1)". The record is from RNAcentral. Lineage: Eukaryota; Metazoa; Chordata; Mammalia; Artiodactyla; Bovidae.
CCACUUUCUGCUGAGCUUCAGGACUCUUCCAUUUUGCUGAAGGAGUAUCAGGAGAAGUGGCUUUUAGUGGAGAUUAAGGACUGGACCAAGUUAAUCCAUUUCUGCAAAAUGCCCAAGGAGCCAGCAUGACUUGGAAAUGAAGGACAAAAGGGACCCUCUGAAGAUUCAAAGACCUCUCAGGACAGUUGAUGCCAAGAAAUGGGUGGAUGUGAGGUUUCCAUCAGGACAAGAGACAAGAGUUCCGGAAGGUUGGGACUGUUUGGGAAUUGGGGCAGGGACAUGGCAAUCCCUGCCAUGUUGGCCCUUGGCCCUCAGCUCACUGGGGAGCUCUGCGUGGCGCCUGUUCCCAGGCAGCCGGACCACUGUGAUGCUCUCUGAUCCUGCCUUCCUGCCUGGCUCUGUGCAUCCCUUUGACCUCAGCUAGGUUGGAGGUGAGAUCUUCAACGAGCCUUUGUCUUCUUCUAUCCUGACCUCCCAGGGUUGCACUAUACAAGGUGGUGGAACAGGCUGAAGGUUAAGACUUCGGCAGCAGUCCUCAACCUUGGCUGCACGUUGGCACCAUCUGGAGAGCU